This 242-nucleotide ribosomal RNA is filed under the name uncultured bacterium. RNAcentral describes it as "partial 16S ribosomal RNA". It matches the Rfam family "Bacterial small subunit ribosomal RNA", at positions 529 to 770 of the family's 1533-position model. The record is from RNAcentral.
AUGGUGCAAGCGUUAUCCGGAUUUACUGGGUGUAAAGGGAGCGUAGACGGAGAAGCAAGUCUGGAGUGAAAGCCCGGGGCUCAACCCCGGGACUGCUUUGGAAACUGUUUUUCUUGAGUGCCGGAGAGGUAAGCGGAAUUCCUAGUGUAGCGGUGAAAUGCGUAGAUAUUAGGAGGAACACCAGUGGCGAAGGCGGCUUACUGGACGGUAACUGACGUUGAGGCGCGAAAGCGUGGGGAGCA